RNAcentral lists this ribosomal RNA (666 nucleotides) under Pseudoxiphophorus bimaculatus (twospot livebearer). RNAcentral describes it as "partial small subunit ribosomal RNA". It matches the Rfam family "Bacterial small subunit ribosomal RNA", at positions 538 to 1512 of the family's 1533-position model. Lineage: Eukaryota; Metazoa; Chordata; Actinopteri; Cyprinodontiformes; Poeciliidae. The record is from RNAcentral.
GCUCAAGUUGAUAACCUCCGGCGUAAAGCGUGGUUAAAAGACCCUUUUAAACUAAGGCUAAACUCUCUCAAAGCUGUUAUACGCAUCCGAGAGUAUGAAACACAACCACGAAAGUAGCCUUAACACCUCCUUGACCCCACGAAAGCUGUGAAACAAACUGGGAUUAGAUACCCCACUAUGCACAGCCAUAAACUUUGAUAGAAAAUCACAACCCCUAUCCGCCUGGGAACUACGAGCAUAAGCUUAAAACCCAAAGGACUUGGCGGUGCUUUAGACCCCCCUAGAGGAGCCUGUUCAAGAACCGAUAACCCCCGUUUUACCUCACCUUUUCUUGUUUAUCCCGCCUAUAUACCGCCGUCGUCAGCAUACCCUGUGAAGGAAGCAUAGUAAGCAAAAUUGGCAAAGCCCAAAACGCCAGGUCGAGGUGUAGCAUAUGAAAAGGAAAGAAUGGGCUACAUUUCCUCUCUUAGGAAACACGAAUUGUGUCAUGAAAUAACACAUGAAGGAGGAUUUAGCAGUAAGCAGAAAGCAGAGCGUUCUGCUGAAUCUGGCCCUGAAGCGCGCACACACCGCCCGUCACUCUCCCCAAGUCCAAAAACAUUUUUAACUAAAACCCCAUUAAGACAAAGGGGAGGCAAGUCGUAACAUGGUAAGUGUACCGGAAGG